GAUGAACGCUGGCGGCGUGCCUAAUACAUGCAAGUCGAGCGAACGGACGAGAAGCUUGCUUCUCUGAUGUUAGCGGCGGACGGGUGAGUAACACGUGGAUAACCUACCUAUAAGACUGGGAUAACUUCGGGAAACCGGAGCUAAUACCGGAUAAUAUUUUGAACCGCAUGGUUCAAAAGUGAAAGACGGUCUUGCUGUCACUUAUCGAUGGAUCCGCGCUGCAUUAGCUAGUUGGUAAGGUAACGGCUUACCAAGGCAACGAUGCAUAGCCGACCUGAGAGGGUGAUCGGCCACACUGGAACUGAGACACGGUCCAGACUCCUACGGGAGGCAGCAGUAGGGAAUCUUCCGCAAAGGGCGAAAGCCUGACGGAGCAACGCCGCGUGAGUGAUGAAGGUCUUCGGAUCGUAAAACUCUGUUAUUAGGGAAGAACAUAUGUGUAAGUAACUGUGCACAUCUUGACGGUACCUAAUCAGAAAGCCACGGCUAACUACGUG
This 497-nucleotide ribosomal RNA is filed under the name uncultured bacterium. RNAcentral describes it as "partial 16S ribosomal RNA". It matches the Rfam family "Bacterial small subunit ribosomal RNA", at positions 28 to 507 of the family's 1533-position model. The record is from RNAcentral.